GUAGGGGGCGAGCGUUAUCCGGAUUUAUUGGGCGUAAAGCGCACGUAGGUGGCGCUGUAAGUUGGACGUGAAAGCUCUCGGCUCAACUGAGAGAGGUCGUUCAAAACUGCAGGGCUCGAGGUUGGAAGAGGAGAGUGGAAUUCCCGGUGUAGUGGUGGAAUGCGUAGAUAUCGGGAGGAACACCAGUGGCGAAGGCGACUCUCUGGUCCACACCUGACGCUGAGGUGCGAAAGCGUGGGGAGCGAACGGGGGAUUAGAUACCCCGGUAGUCCACGCCGUAAACGAUGGAUACUAGGUGUAGGAGGUUAUUUACCCCCCUUCUGUGCCGAAGCUAACGCGUUAAGUAUCCCGCCUGGGGACUACGAUCGCAAGGUUA
This 376-nucleotide ribosomal RNA is filed under the name uncultured organism. RNAcentral's name for it is "partial 16S ribosomal RNA". It matches the Rfam family "Bacterial small subunit ribosomal RNA", at positions 527 to 896 of the family's 1533-position model. The record is from RNAcentral.